RNAcentral lists this long non-coding RNA (22507 nucleotides) under Ananas comosus (pineapple). Its description in RNAcentral is "long non-coding RNA (ACOM_LNC024456)". Lineage: Eukaryota; Viridiplantae; Streptophyta; Magnoliopsida; Poales; Bromeliaceae. The record is from RNAcentral.
GAAAUAAAUGAAGAAACAAAAAUUUAAGAUUUAUGUGGUUUGACAAUUUUCUACAUCCAUGCGGAGAGCGAGAGAGAUAUAUUCCACUAUAUGAAGAAAUAAAAAAAAAGUACAAGCUUAAAGCUUAUAUUUUCUCUAGAUAAAAAAAAAUUAGGAGCCUUUUGGUGAUUCCCACUUUUCUCUUAUUCCAACAAAAACUCCUCCAAAUAUCAAAUAUCUCAUCUCAGCCCAAAACGAGCAGUUUUGGUUGCUCAGAACCCAUAUCCAGGCAUUCGAAACCUUUCAAACAGUGUCCUUCGGGUGCUUCCUCUCGCUGCCUUUCAUCAGUCCAAAUCUGGCAGUAAUUGCGCCCGGACCAAUUCGGUCGUCCGGAACCUGCGCUCGAAACCGUGCUGAGUCACCUGUACAUGUAUACCCUAUCACCUGUCAAAUCACUGUGCUUAACUUUUGGGCCGCUACAGUGCCGAAUUCGGAUAGCCCAAAGGAGGGUCCUGAAUCACCAAAAUCCACUCCUCACAAUGUCUUGGCACCCUAUACCACUUUCAGGCAUCAGUAAAUGCAUAUAUCAAUAUGGUUUGAAUUGAUUUCAAUUUUUGAGUCCGUUUUCGUGUUAUAUUUUGCACCAAAAUAGCUCCAACUCAAUCUAGCAUUCUAAAAACAUGCGGACUAGCAAUACAUACUGCAACCUUGUCUAUUUGCGAAGGUUCAAUGAUCAAAAUAUAUGCUAUGAUUUUAUUUGUAUCAUAAUUAAUGACAUUGCUCUACUAUCUAUAAACUUAUCUAUAAAUUUAUAUAUUAAUCCUCGUGGAAAAGUCCACGUGUCAAAUUUUACUUUACUUAAGCCUUAUAGAUGUGGGAACCACCUUAUGUUUAUUAUCUGCCUCAUACUUAAUUAAUAGAAGUGUGAAUCCACCCCACAACGAAACGAUGCCGAGCGAAACAGUGGCAUCGUUUCCAACUCCGACUCUUUGUAGCCCUCACCCUCAUCUCACCCUUCGGUUCACCGAAACCCUAAUUGUGAUCCUAGAUUUCUCGCCUUCGCCACCUCUCCUACUUGGAUAGGAGCCUUCGUCUCUGCCUCUGCAUCCUCACCUCCUCUGCCUUCGCGGUGCUAUCAGAGGCUGUCGAAAAGUCGAAAAGGCCAAGAGAGACAGUGGAUAAGGAGAAGAAGAAGAAGAGGAAGGCGAGGGGAAGGUCACAGAAGGGGCAAGGGGAGGGGACAAAAGGACUAUGCUUGGUCUCCAAACACAGCCUCCUCCUCCCACUGCACGAGCUAUAGACACUUGGCAGCCUUCGGCUCAACACUUGCAUCGGAAUUCAGUACCUAUCUUCGUGGCUCACGAUGACCGGUUUGAUACCGCUGUACAACCUCAUGGAGGACAUCGCGACGACAGAUAUCAAUAUGGUGCAGAACAGACAGUGGAUUAGAUAUGGAGUUUAUGUGGAUGCGAACCAUUGUGCUCUGUCAAAAUGUUAGGCUCCUCCGUCGCCUUCGAUGCCGCGCUUUUGAGGCUUCAAUAGAUAUUGCGACUCUCCGAAUUCUUCUCCAAACUUUAAGAUAAUUGCUCCUUUCCCAUUUCUCUCUCUCUAUAAUCUAUGUUAUAAUAUGUUUUAGUCAAUUAAGGUUUCAGGACUUGGGUCUUUGGCAUUAGAUUUUUCUAUUAUGGUUUGUAUUAGAUUUAUUGCUAGGAUUCUAAUCCUCCAUUGAAAGUGAUUAUGCUUAAGUUUUUUUUGUGAAUUUUGUGUCACGCCCUGGAUUACCGCGUUUCCCUGGGCACGCCAACAGACCUGCCUGCUGGAUUUGUGCUUAACGAUGAAGGUGUGUAUAACCUCCACUCUAUGAGGCUCAUUUGCUAUUUUGGGGACAGUAAGACCGGCUGGGAGAGGGGCCGUAUAAGCACAGUCGAUGUCAUUUAGAGCAAUAGAGUGAGCGGAAGCAGUGAGACUACGAGGCACUUAUUCGAUGCAGUGAGACUAUGAGGCACAUAGGAAUUUUUCGUGUAUACAAAGCGAUAGCUGUACCUGUAAUCACAACAUAACUACAACCAAUAGUAUAGAGCUGCUAAACUAAAAAAAUAGAGAUAUAUAUAAAACCACGAGGGGUUCCUGUACAUACAAAAUGUCUACAACCCAACUCGCUCCAACGAGUACAACGACAACAUCGCAGUAUGUACAAAGAAAGCCCAAAACUACCUCUAAAUAGGUGCUCCUCUAACUGGCAACGAUACUGGUAGGGAUCUAGCUCACGACUCCCUUCCCACGGUCCGAAUCAGCGACGGCAACAGCCACGGACGAAGGCUCUACAAAAAGGGGUCAACAACUGGGUGUGAAAACUACUGCAAAACAGAGUAGUUCUUAGUGGGUACCGUCAUCGACCUCAACGGCCCACCCACUAAGUCUACAGAAAUAUGCGCAAAGGAUAGCAAGGAAAGCUGAAAAAACUCUACAGCUACAUGCCACUAUACUAUCGCUAACCAACAUAGGCUAUCUGUAGAUAUGAAAGAUGCCUCACUCUGACCCAAUCUCACCUGGGACUGCGAUACGCUCGUCCCGUCUGUCGAAACAACCCCGUACACCACCCCAAGAGUAGCCUGUGGAGAAAACUCUCUAGGGAUUGCAAUACGCCCGUUUCGCCUGUUUAGGCUACACCAUACCCCAAGAGUAGCCGGUGGAGAAAACUCUCUAGGGACUGCGAUACACUCGUCCCGCCUGUCUAAGCUACACCGUACCCCAAGAGUAGCCGGUGGAGAAAAUUCUCUAGGGAUUGCGAUACGCUUGUCCUGCCUGCCUAGGCUACAUCGUACACCUCCUCGAGAGUAGCCGAUCGAAGUAAAAAGGUCCGACAGGACUGCUGCGACUCAACACACAUCACAACCUCACUGAGGGUAGAGAAAGGCGUCACUAACUACCACUGACCCAACCUCACACGGGCUGCUCAAACGGACGCACCCUAACUGUAUCCAGCUCAAGAACCGUCCAAACAAAAACUGUGACCUCAUCGCACUGAAACCUCAUUCCGGAAUGGCAUUCGUGGGUGCGAUCCAACCGAAUUUACAAAUGUGUCUUUGCCUAGUUCAAUCAGGCUCUCACAGGCUGUAAUCACUAUAACUGGGUCAAACUAAUCUAUCCACCAAAACUCACGUGCUCUUGGUACAAUCUGAUGCAAAAUGUAGAAAUCUGGGUCCACCGUCAACCCCGACGGCACCCAACAGUACGAAACAGUUUACACACUAUUGUAAAACAAGCUCGGCCUCCCAGCACGAGCGUAAACUCACCCUACACUAAUCUGGGUAUCCACCUUGUACUAACAGCGGUGAUACAGAAAUCUCGGUCCACCGUCAAACACGACGGCACCUGACAGUCCAAACGCUACUGUACAACAAGCACGGCCCAUCAGCACGAGCAUAAUGUCAGCCUACUCUAAGCUGAGUAUCUACUACGCACUAACAGCGGUGAUACAAAAGUACAUCAGCUCCUGAAGCUAAAUCUAUUAACUUUUCGAAAAGUGAAGUGUGUAGGUUCUUAAUGUUUUCUCCUAAGUCAAGUCCCAGUUCAUCAUGCAACAUUUAUCUAAAAUUAUCAUAUGAAGCAACAAAUUUAGAUUUCAUAUUACGGCAUGCAAAUCUACCAAUUUCAGCUACUAACAUGAUGAUUGAAGGAUAACAAUACAUGCUAAAAACUACAUAGUACUUAGGAGGAAUUCCGGUGAAUUCAAUGACUUCAACCCACCUAGUAUGCAAAUCCGACCACAGAUUAAAGCGAAACUCAGCGGUCACGUGCCUUCAGUCCCGAAUCACCAACAAGUAUAAGAAAAUCCCACAAAUCCCUGUUGGAUCGAACUGAAUUAAAAAUCGAAUCACAAAUCCAUCAAAUGUCUAUCCGGUUCGAAAAAAUUGAAAUUCAGCGUUACUCACCUCAAACCAAUAGUUGCAACUUGAUUCGCAAGUUCCUCUCUACCUCAGGAACACCCUAGAAGCAUCCAAUUGCAGCAAUAAGGUCCAAAUCAAAACUAAUUUCCAAAACUAGUUGCUGCUGUCCCUACUCCAAGGCUGCUGCUGCUGCUAUCUCAAAGUUGCUGCUGGCUUCUAAGUUGCCAGCACUAAGUUGCACUUCAUUCUUGCUCCGCCAACCAACCAACAGCAAAAUUGGGAAUUGGAACUUGUUCACAAGUAAUCUUAGGCCUUUCCUCUAUAAGAAAAAUCUAUAUUUCCCCAAAAAUUCCAUUACAAAUGAAAGAUAAAGAUCAAAAUUUCAGCAUCGACGAAAACAGUUUUCUCAGUCUUCGACCUCAACAAAAAAAUGAAUUCCUCAUUCAUUUUACCUCCAAAUUGAUCGAAACAAGAUUCUAUGCAGUAGAGGAUGAAGUGAAGAUCACUUGCAAUCUUUUCAAAGCUCACUCCUAUAGAAAUUUUGAACGAACUUAAACGGGUUCCAACAAUGGACGAAAUCAGCCUGAAAUUUCAGUAUUGAACCAACUUUGAUCAACUUUAAAAUUAAAGCCACUAACCUCCCAUUUCAGCUCAAACAAGAUAAAAACGGACUCCCAACUUCCCCCUACACCAUUACCUGUGUUUAAUUUCGAAGUUGGAGCCCCAGCAAUCACCCAAUUGCAUUCAUUCUUCAAGUUGGUCCAGAUGGUGCUCUCAAACAGCCUCAAUCAAGUUUCCGUCAGCAGGGAAAGAUGGUAAAUUCACAAACCAUCCAUGAUUUCGCCUAGAACUCCACUCACCAAGUAACCAACUAGUUACUCCUUGAAUUCUUGUCCUCAAUAAGAACACCCUCCCACAGCAGGAACUUGCAACUAAAACUUCAAUUAGUCACUAGGAUCCUACUAAUGCUGUAUUUGUUGUUUGAGUGCUGCUUGUCACGGACAAAAUAUUUUCCGCUAACUUUUCCUUGACAGUGGCCCAACUUCGCUAGCGGAGCGGGUUGGACAAUGGCCCAUUCUCCGAAGGAGCGGUCUGUCGGAGGUUUUGCUGCGGCGUUCUAAAAACUUAUACGCGGAUCUCAAGACUAAUGGUGCGGAUGCCGAAGUGUCAAGAGUCCCUUAGAGUUUCUAGGUGGGCAAUAAGUGGUCUCUUGGGAGACCGUAGCCUAGCUCUUUGUCAUGUAGUUAUGCGCCAUUUGGCGCCUUUUCAUUGUAGCUUGGGUGGCGAGUGGCCUAUAUAAGGAUGUGGCCUCCGCCCCCUCUCAUUAGAGCCAAGGAAGGAAAUCAGUUGUACUCUCAACUUCUAUCAAUAUACAACAUUCCUCAAACUCUCUCUCUCUCUCUUGUAUUUAGUCUAUGGCGAGUAGGUCCUAACUUAGCGAGUAGAGAGGUAGGCUUGCCCAUCUUCGAGUAGGAAGGCGGGCGCCGCACGGGCUUUGCGAACAGAACCGGUAAGUCCGUGACAGUUGGUAUCAGAGCCGGUUCGAGAAGGAACCAUGUCGUCUUCAGAUGCUGCUGUUGUCGACGUAACUGUUGAGCCUUCUAAGCAUACCAAGCGCGACAAGAGCAAGAAGCCGCUGCAGACUCUAGUGAGAGAGUCCGUUCGCUUGACGACCGCGUAGGCGUGCUGAAGGACUCUGCUGCCAAAGCGGAGGAGCGCUACUCCGUCCUAUCCCAACAUGUGGGGAUGAUGGAGAAUGGGCUGCAUGCCAUGGAGGACAGCGUUGCGGUUGCCAUGGCGACUUUCCGUCAUCAACUCGAGGAGUUCCGCAAAGACCUCACCCGUCGCAAGGACAAGCGGAAGGUGCUGGUGAAGGAUCUCGUCACCAGGGGUGACGAGGUCGAGGACCUCAAGAUGCGGGUGACUAUCCUUGAGAAGGCGGUAGCUCGAGGCGUCGAGACGCAGAAGGAGUACACCCAAGGAUCCGCGUCCCUGAAACCCAAUGCUUCAAGGGCACGCGCGAUGAGAAGGAGAUAGACAAUUUUCUUUGGCACAUGGAGCGCUAUCUCAAGGCGCUGCGGUUGGAGGACGAGGAUGAUAAGGUCCAAACCGCUUCCAUGUACCUUGCCGACAAUGCGAUGCUGUGGUGGCGACGGCGUUCCGCAGAGGCCGCAAAGGGCCAAUGCGAAUUGAAGACUUGGGAGGACUUCGUGCGCGAACUAAAGGCACAGUUCAACCCAGAGCAUGUCAAAUAUCUUGCGCGGAGGCAACUUCGACGGCUCAAACAUCGGAGCACACUCAAGGAGUAUGUCCAGGAGUACUCGAAACUCGUGCCGGCGAUCUCCAACAUGGCCGAUGAGGAUCGGCUAUACUUCUUCCUAGAUGGCCUUCAGUCGUGGGCAAAUAAGGAGCUCGUGGCGCGAGAUGUGAAGGACUUGAACUUCGCGAUUGCUUUGGCGGAGAAGUUGCCCGAGCGGGAGCGAACCGAGGGCGAUCGAGGUGAACCACCAAAGGCGAUCGAGGCCAAUGGUGGUGGAGGGCACCGCAAUCCAGGGGGCGCCAAGGGGCACAAGCCAAACCAUGAUGCAAGAAAGCAAUGACAGAAUCCCGCCCCGCCACCUGCAAAGAUCUCUUGCUAUGUUUGCGGCGAGACCAUUGGGCGUGGGACUGCCGAAAGAGGGGCAACCACAAAGGUAAGCAGGUUGCUGCGGUCCAAGCCAUUGAGGGCGAGGACGACGACAUGGUCUAGCUGCCAAGGAUGGGCACGCUAAGGCUCGUCAACGCAGUUCGCGAUUAGCCAAGUGGCGACAAGCUCCGAAAGAGGGAGCUUAUGUUCAUCAAUGUGAUCCUCAACGGGAGGACCACGCGGGUGAUGAUCGACACCGGUGCGACGUACAACUUUGUUGCGGAGGCGGAGGCCAAGCGGUUGGACCUCACAGUCGAGAAGGAUGCGAGUCGCAUCAAAGCGGUCAACUCUGAGCCGUGGCCAAUCGCAGGAGUUGCCAAGAGCGUGGAGAUAGCCAUCGGCCUGUGGAGAGGCAAGGCCAAUCUCACUGAUGGGCUGCUCGACGACUUUGGAGUGAUCCUCGGGAUGGACUUCCUUAUUUCGUCGAAGGCGGCGCCUAUGCCACACUUGUGGGUGCUGAGCAUCAUGGACGAGUCAGCAUCAUGCAUGGUUCCGAUGUGUCGGGAUGAGCCGACGAAGGACCUAACUCUAAUAGCCCUGCAACUUUGCCAAGAGGUGAAGUGCGAGAAGACUGAGGAACUUGAGGAGGAGGACCUGAGCAGCGGCGAGACUGUCAAGUCUUAUGUGGCGCUGAAACAGUCAGCGCCCGAUCAAGGUACAAGUUAUUCUGUCAAGCAGCUGUCCGAGGGGACCAGGGGGCGUUCUGCGGCUUAGCGGAGUGCUGUCGCGGAGGACAUGCACAUUUGGUGGAUUCUUCGCAUAGCGGGUUCGCUGGUGCACAUGCUCAGAGGGGCAAGACACUAGGUGUUGGCGUGGGGACAGAUGCAGACUGCAGAAGGAAGGCACGGGGCCGAUCGCAAGUGAAGGUACGACGGACCGCGCGGAAGGCUAUGCGAACAGGGAAUGACUCGGCGCGCGACGAGGGCGUCUGCACGUUAGGUGGGGGAGGUUGUCACGGACAAAAUGUUUUCCGCUGACUUCUCCUUGACAGUGGCCCAACUUCGCUAGCAGAGCGGGUUGGACAGUGGCCCAUUCUUCGAAGGAGCAUUCUGUCGGAGGUUUUGCCGGGGCGUUCUGGAAGCUUCUAUGCGGAUCUCAAGACUAAUGGUGCGAAUGCCGAAGGGUCAAGAGUCCUUUAGAGUUUCUAGAUGGGCAAUAAGUGUAGUCUCUUGGGAGAUCGUAGCCUAUCUCUUUGUCUUGUAGUUAUGCGCCAUUUGGCGCCUUUUUAUUUGUAGCUUGGGUGGCGAGUGGCCUAUGUAAGGAUGUGGCCUCCACCCCCUUUCAUUAGAGUCAAGGAAGGAAAUCAGUUGUACUCUCAACUUUUAUCAAUAUACAACAUUCCUCAAACUCUCUCUCUCUCUUGUACUUAGUCUAGGGCGAGUAGGUCCUAGCUUAGCAAGUAGAGAGGUAGGCUUGCCCAUCUUCGAGCAAAAAGGCGGGCGCUGCACAGGCUUUGCGAACAAAACCACUAAGUCCGUGACAGUUCUAGCAAGCUACGCAGGGAAGAACCGGCAGGGAGGAAGGAGAAAUUAAGAGAAAAAGAAACAGAAGAACGAGAAAAAGAAUAGAGUUGAUGGGAAAAGUGAGUUGCAUGGAGGAGAAUAAAGUCCACACUCAGCCACACACUACCAACCAACAUCCUGAGUUUGGGGUGGUUGGGAUUUUGAUACCAUGUGCCUUAGGCACAAGGUAGUAAGGUUACCCAACAGGAAGUUGAUUGGCAUAUCGAUCUAAUUUUGACGUCUACGGCCCAACACUUUCCCAACGUGUCGACUGAAGCACAGACCGUAAUCAUUCCAAAAAAAAUAAUAAGUUAAUAUUUUUUUGAAACAUUACAUUUUGCCUUUUUUGUCAUAAAUUGGGUGAUAUGAGAAUAGAGAGAAAGGAAUAGGCGAGUUUAGAGAAGAUGAUGUUGAUCAAGCCAACAUGGGGAAACAUAAGGAUCGGUAUGUCGUUUAUGGUGGCUCUGAAAAGAUAUAAGAUGGUGAUCUCCAUGCCGUCGUACACGAGCCUCGAGAGAAAGGUCAAUCAUAAGGGUGUAUGGCACAAAUUUGAUAUUGAAUGUCCUUACCAAAGGAUGGGCGGAACCGUGAAGAAAGAAUAUAAACUCAUUCUAUAUAGGUAAUAUUUUUUGUGUUAGUUUCCUCUCCUUCCUCGACUCCCCUAUUAUAAUGACACCAUCGCCGCAUGGGGUUCACCGAAAAGUUGCUUAGCCUUGCCGACUGCUGCCACCCGAUAAACGUCCCCAUGAACAUCACUCGCCGAGUGCUUAUAGCGGUCUCAGUAAUCUAAAUUUAACGACCUAUUUUUUUUCUAUAACUUAAGUUAGUAAAUUCGAUUUUGAUGAUUUAGAAACAAAUAAUAGAGAUAAUUUUCUUUGAAAACUUAAACGGUUUAUAUUUAAAACUUUACGGCACGANCUCAGCGCCUUCUACAUGGUUAAAAAAAAAAAAAAGUUGGACCGGGUGCACUGCAUGUCUGGGCGGUGUUUAAGUUUCAAGGAGAUAAGUGAGCCCGUCUCAGAGGAAACAUAAACGUGCCGCAUGGUUGCCUAUGUUGUCCUAGUGUUGGUGUUGGAUGUAAAUGGUUAGUCGUUGGUUAAGUACUAUACAUAAAGGUAUGUCGAUUGUUAGGAAUCUUACUACGUACGGAGAUUCGUGAGGAAUCCGCAACCUACUACGUUACGUGUUAUGUUGUUUGUAAGAUAAAUUUUCACGAGGGGUGGGCCUUCGAAAACAAAAAUUGAGAUUAAGUUAGUAAGUAUUUUGGUAAGUUUUUAGAAAACUUUUGACAAAAGGUGUGCUUUUGAUGAGUUUUAAAAAAUGGUAAUGGCUUUUAAAUCGGCCCCGGGGCGUGACAUCCUCUUCCUCCAUCUCCUCCUCCGUCGGUGCCGGCGGCCCUUGGCAACAGUAACAAGGUCGGCGCCGAUCCUCCUCCUCCACCUCCGUCUUCGCCGCCGCUAGAGAAGAAGAAAGAGAACUCGGAGUAGGCCCGAGUGAGGGCGGAGCAGACAGAGGCGAUGAGGUUGUUGCCGAGGAGGUGCUCACCGCUCGUGAGGGUAAGGAAAACGGUGUAAGGAAAGAAGAUGCACCUAUCUCCAAGGAACGAACAAAUAUGCAAAGGGUAGAAAAAAAACAAGAAUAAAAAAUAAAAUAAUAAAAAAAUUCUCUUUGAAAGAGCAUUAUAUAUUGUUGCUGCUACCGAAAAGUCUAAAAAUUAGAGAAAAAGAAAGAAGAAGAUGAAUGUUGCACUGUUAACAAGAAAAUUGCACUGUUUAAUAUGAACGUUGCACUUUGUGAGAUUAAAAUUACACUGUUUAAAAUAAAAGUUGCACUAUUUGGACAAAAAUUAUACUAUUUCAAAAAAAAUUGUACUAUUCUCCGGCCCUCAUCGCCUCAUCUUCUUCUUUUCUUCCUCUUUCUUUGACCCCUUCCUCCUCUUCCCUCUCCCCUUCCGACCCUUAUCCUCACCAGCGCGAGCCUCUCUACCCCGCAUGCCGCAUCGGAGCGCCGAAACACGAAAACGACCUACCUCUCUCUUUUUUUUUUGUUCCUUUGUUAUUUUUUUUUUUCUCUCUGACGCUUAUCGCCUCCUUCACCGUAUCCUCGGUCCUUGGCGACAGUAACGAGGGCGGUGACACCUCCUCUUCCUCUGCCUGUGUAGUACACUGAACUUUAGCAAAUUGCCAGGUUCUAGUGUAAUAAUAGUAUUUAGAACUAUUCUAACUAUUUUGUGGGUUGUUGGUAGUGUACCAACACAUAACUUAAGCUCUCUGAGUGCGAGAACGGGUUACUAGCACUAAAAUCUACAAAUUGCAGGUUUUGAGUGCUGCGUAUCGGCCUUGAGUGGGGUACCGGAACUCUGUAGAGUGCCAGAAUGUGUUGCUCUUGGGUUUGAGGAGCUGGGCAGUGAGUACCGGUACUGGACGGUGAGUACCGGUACUGGACUGAGUACUGGGUGGAGUACAAGUACUGCAUCAGGUGGGUACCAGUACACUGUAAAAAAUCCGAUUAUCUAGCGCUCGGGUUUUGAGAGGCUAAGUACUGGGUACCGGUACUCCAAUUCGAGUACCGAUAUUCAAUGCUGCAGAUGGUAUGUGUGUAUAAGUGGGGUGUCACAUUUGGUAUCAGAGCCAAUUACCAGCCAGAAGUGUGAGAUGAGUCUCAGCUGAACCAGGUUAUACAACGGGGAGAGCGAGGCUCUCAUGCUCUUGACUGUUGUGGGUGGAGCGCGGCUCUCCCACAAGGUCGGUUUAGGCUAGAGAGACGAGUCUCACAUUGCUUGGUACUUGUGAUUCUGAGUCUGACGAGGACGUUAGUGCUUAAAGAGGCAGAGAAUGUGAGACCCCAGAUAGUUCUCUAUAUGGCAGUUCUCUAUAUAUGAUAUAAUAGGGUUAAUACCUUAACCCGGAUAUAGCCUUUUGAGCGGUAGCUAGGUCCAAGAGGUUAAGAGAGUUAAGCGUGCUAGGACUACAGUAGUCCUAGGAUGGGUGACCCUCUGGGAAGUAGGGCGUCACGUAAAACAUUCAAAAUUUUAUUUGAACUAUGAACUAUUUUGAAUUGACUAUCUGUCACGCCCCGAGCUCCGCCUAUUUGGUCGGAUUCGGGCAUGCCAACAGACCGCCGAACGGAUAGGGUUUCCCCUGUACCACGGAUAGAGUUUUUCCUGUACUGCGGACAGAGUUUCCCCUGUACGUCCAAGGCGUCACAAUCCAUACAAUACGCGAGGUUCCAACCAGGAACAGUAUUCAAUCAAGGAUUGCGUAAGGAAGUAUCAAAAACAUAAAUACAACUAUGCUAUUACAAGCAUUCAUUCCAGGUUUUACAUAUUACAAUUUGAUUUACAUUUAACUUCCAAAUACAAUCAGGUUAUUACAAAACUAUUACAAGUUUGUUUCUUUCAUCUCUAUACCCCUAAGCUAGACCACCUCGGGGUACUGCUAUCUCUGGUCAGAAUGGUAGGGCGCUAGCUAUGGAGCUACGCCCUUUCCUCGCGCCGCCGUGCCGCUCACGCGUGAACCUGAAAUCCCCCAAAACAACGUGGGGUGAGAACUAUAUAAAUAUAGUUCCCAGUGGGUACGGCCACCUAAGGUAAGAGCUCGACCCACCAGGUCCAAAGGAGGCACUGCCAACAUGUUAGUCCAGAAAAUAUCCACAUAUAUAUCAUUAUAUGUUUUAUGUAACUAACAGUUAUCAUGUUCAUGCCUCUCAACAUGCAACAAUGCAAAUCAUGCAACUCAACAUGCAUCAAUGUAAGUCAUGGAACUCAACGUGCAAUAAUGUAAGUAGAUCUACUAAUUCUACUUCUAUCUCGCUAUCCACAGCUCGUCCAACUGACUUCUAAGAUUUCCUCUAUCUUAGAUUCAUAUCAUUCACAAUUUGCUCAUAAGGUUUCAUCUACCUUUACCAAACUAUCCACCCGACUCGGUCUUGAGUCAAUCAUCUGCGGAGUAAUCGCGUACAGCCAGGCUCGAGGUGAAGGACAUCUCAUAUGCAUCUCAGCCUUAAAUCCACUGAACUGGGAUGCCAACUGGGAUGCAAAUUCACUCUACUAGGAUUCAUCCAUAGCUCAUAAUGCAUGUCACCUAAUCUCACUGGUUAACCGAAAGGUUAAGCCCCGACUCAUAGUGCAAUCCCAUAGGUGAGGAAACCCUCCCGCUCGCACACCGAGACCGUCUGCUGGGUAAGUGGAUCGUUAACUCAUCGUGUGAAGACUCCGGAGCUCACUGCUUGGGUGGAGCGACCACGCCAAGCGAGAACAGACUAUGUGAGUAUGAUCCAAUCCUCUCCAACUGAGUAUACCCUACCAACUAGGGAUACAACAAACUCGAAAAAUCCACCAAUCCCAACAUUCAUGUCACAAGUGUCUCUACUACACUAGUUCCAAAUGCCACUCGAUCUACAACUCAAAAAAUCAUCUAUCCCUAUAGUCAUCAUGUCAUAAGUGUCUCUACCACACUAGUUUCACAUGCCACAUUUUCUACUUGUCAUCCUAGUUAUCCACACCUAGGAUUAUAGUUCAUAUGUCCUUAUUUUGAUAUCGAGUUCUCUAAUCAACCUAGAGUUUAUCGACCCAAAGUAAACAUUCAUAUGAAUUUAGCACAUUCUACAACAUGUCAACAUGCAUAUCUCAACUAGUAUAAUCCACAACAUGAACAUGCAUAUACCAUCUAGUGUAUAUAUAUCCACAUGCACAUUUCAUCUAGCAUGCUCUCAUAAUGUUCACAUGCAUAUUUCAUCUAACAUAAUCCACAAUAUGUCAACAUGCAUAUGUUUAGUCAUCCAAUGAUAGUCCAUGCAUAGCAUCUAUUUCAUGCAUUCAUCUAGCAUUUAUAUCAUGUAUUCAUAUGUUUUGCAAUUAACUACCAUUAUAUGCAUCAAUGAUAAAUAACAUUCACUUCGACAUGGAAGUGAGCUAAUCUCUUCGGUGAGCACAACCCAUCUCGUAACGCUCUCCGAUUGCUUGUCGACACUUGCAACCGGCCUCCUGCGGUACUCGUUGUUCGGUUCGGCUCGAACUUGCAAUCGAUCACCAGCCACAUGUCAAUCCGCGACCUAGGGUCUUCAAGGGCCUCUCUCUAACCUCCAAUUAGAGAAACCAAGGGUUAAUUUAGACCAAAACCCUUAAACCCCAAAACACUCAUCGCUAACCCUAGCAUGGCAUAAUCUCCAAUUAACCCAAAAAUCUCAUGGAGAAAACAUGCUAACAAUACAUUAGAGGCUACUAGAACACUAAGUAUUAAGGAUUUAACCAAAAUCCUAACACUUACCAAAUUGCAAACUCCGAGUCGAAAGCACGCCGCUCAACUGGACGUACGAAGACUCGAUCCGUCGCUCCACACGCGUUCCCAAGCCCGCUCGCCGCCAAGCCUCUGAAUGUGGGAGAGAGAGAUAAAGAGAGUAGGGAAAUAUCUAGAGAGAGAAAGGGAGGGUUUCUCUCUCCCUCUCCAUGUACGUGUGUGUGUUGUGUUUGGCUGAGGAGGAAGGAGGAAGAAGAAGGAAAGGGGAAAAACCCAUUUUUAUAAGCCAACACCCCUCAACAUUAACACAAUUUUCAGUUUAGCAGUUCAGAAUCUGAAGUUCUUCGCCGGAGCCCUUCUGAAUGUCCGUUUGCGCUCAAAUUUGACAGUUAGGCUCGGUUUAACUUAACAAGAAAAACGAAAUCUUAACUUCUCAGUUUCAAACCAUUUUUUGUCACCGAAAACUCUACCGACUAAAAUUUCUAGUAGAUAGCAGUCGGAUUUUAUUUUAUACUUUCCUGGUAUUGGAAUGACAUGAAAUUUUAAAUCUUGCAUCAUAAAAAUAAUUUCGACAUAUUCUCCAAUUUUCAUAAUUUUCUGACACUGUGAAUUUUCUGCUAAAAGGUCAACCCCGUUUCUUACAGAAAAUAGUAUCUUACACUAUUUUUAUUUAUAUUUACCUUUAUAUUAAAAUCCGGUGCAUCACACUAUCCGACCUUUCAAAAUUUUGAUUUUACGAUCCAACCUUUUAAUUUAUUUGAUUUGACUUAGUCAAUAGCAUUUUGAUUAUAAAAUUUAAAUAUGACCUUUAUCUUUAUGUUUAGUUAUUAUACUUCAUGCAAUUUUCAUAAUUGUAAAUAUAAUAAUGUGAGCAACUACUUAAAUUUUAAAGUCAAAGUGUUGUUGUAAUAUCUGAGAUUUGAAUAAAACGAAAUUUGAAAUUUGAAUUUGAAUUUAAGUAUAUAUAUAUAUAUAUANUCUCUCUCUCUCUCUCUCUCUCUCUAUAUAUAUAUAUAUAUAGUUCGGCUACUAUACAUACAAUUAUGAGUACGAUCGCCCUCGUACUCAUAAGUUGUUUUCGAUGAUAGAGCUCCCGAAUCGUCGAUCCACACCGUUAAACAUUAUCUAGCGUAUUUAAAACGUCUAGAAAUCAAAUUUUAUAAUUUUUCGUCAUCAUUUACCUUACGAUCAAAAGGUCACAAAAUUGACAAUUUUUAACGGUCGGUAUGGCAUAUUUGCUAGUUUAACGGUGUAAAAGAAUCGAAAUCGGUUGAAUUUUUGAUAGAAAAUUUUAUUCACUACAUAAAUAAAGAUCAAUAACUCCGAUCUUAAAUUGAAGGAUCCGAUCAUCCAUUUUUAAGAUGUCGUUCGAUUUUGACCGUUCAUUUUAUACCCGCUUGAUGGACUUUUUUAUGAUUUCGAAAAAUUACGAAAUUUAUUUUCUAGAAGUUUGAAUACUCUAGAUCAUAUUUAACGGAGUGGAUCGUGAAAGCUCCAUCAUUGAAAACAACUUAUGAGUACGAAGGGCCCAAUACUCAUAAGAGUAUAGUAGCCCUACUCUCUCUCUCUCUCUCUAUAUAUAUAUAUAUAUGUGUGUGUGUGUGUGUGUGUGUGUGUGUGUGUGUGUGUGCGCGUGCAUGUGUGUGUGUGUAUAUAUAUAUAUAUAUGGUGGUAUUGAGAGCAGAGGAGUUUCGUCGCAGAUCGGCGACCAAAUCUGGCGAAACAAAAUAGUAGUUUCGAUGCCCCUGUCGUGCUGAAUGCGAUGGCGCAGUUCGAUCAAAAAUCCGACGAACGGAUCUCUGGGAAUCUCAUAAUGUUCGCUGAGGAGUCGAAAGUGGCAAAACGGAAAAUUCGCGAAAAGCCUUAUAUUUUAUGUACCGUUUUGCACGAUUUUGAAUGUGGAGGUGCGUAUGCGCAAAAUACAUGCGCUGUGAGGGACUUGCCUGAAAAUAUUCAGCUCUGGAGGACAAUAUUGCAAUUUGGCCAAUAUAUAUAUAUUUGCAUCUUGGGUUUUCCAUGCUAACCUUAACCCUAGUAUACACCUUCUACCGUAGCUGCGCCCCCAACAGCCUCCACCACCCUCCCCUGCCCUCGCCACGCUGUCACGGGUCUAAUGACUUUUGUCAAAAAGCCCGCGCGGUGCUCGUUCGUCACCUACACAAACGAGCCAGCCAAUUCGUCUCGAGGUACAACUUCGCAAAUUGGCAACGACCGAGAAUUGAGAUAAAGCACGUAAGGGGGUCCUACAAAUUGGCACAAACAACGAGUAUUUUAUUGAUAACGAAAAUUUGGACUACAAGCGAAAGGCACACGACUCAACUCAGUCGGGCAUGGCCGAUGAGGGCAAAAUGAUCACCAAGACACUCCGCAUCUAGCGAAGCCGGCUCACUUAAUACGUCUCACCCAACCUUCCCGUACUACCCUAUAUUGGCAUCUACCCAUUUGGCACCCCGGGGGUACAAAGGUGCUCACCAAGGGGUACGUUUUUCCCACUCCGCACACCCAUGGGAAAAUAGGUCGCCGACCCAUGUCCGACAUGAGUCCGGCUCAAUCCGUCGCUGUCACGCCUCGGGGUCCCAUUUUAGUUUUAAAAGCAAAACGGAAAUGCCCAAAAAAAAAUUUUCUUGAAAACCUGACCCCCAGGGUAUGCCAGAUCCGCCACAAGUACAGGAAAUCACUGUUCACACGGACAGUGUCUUCCCUGUAUUUGCACAGCGUCGCACAAGUACAAGAUACAAUUUUUAACUAACCAAAUACAACCACAAAGAUGAACAUCCACAGAUUCAUACAUCAUUCACAGAAUCUCAUUUAUCCAAUUGAAUGAAAGUCAACUGAACCAUAAAGUUUAAGUUAUAUAUUUUGAAUAAGCAAGGAUAGAAACUAGACCGAAGGUCACCGGGCCGGAAACUUUAUCGACCGCUACGAACGUGUCUCACGUAUCGUCUCAACCCUCACCACCCGCAAUACCUAAAAAAUGGUUGGGGGGGUGAGAACAUGUAACCAUGUCUCCCCUCCCAGCGGGUACCGCAAGCAGACGAAGGCGAGGAGUACUCACCGGCAGAAAGAGAUCAACAAAGUCAUAAGUAGAUAUCACAAAUACAGUAGCUAUAAUACCGGAAGGAAUGGAAACAAUAAUAGAACAUGUAACUACCGCUACUGCAAAAUAGAACAGAAUGCAUACAUGGAUAUCGUAACUACAGUAACAAUGAUGCAUGGGUAAAUAACAAUAUAUAGGAAUAUGACUAGCCGCUACUGUAAUACAGAACAAAGUAUAAGUAUGCAUCAACUGGACGAUCAGUCCCAAAAAUACCCAAUCAGAAACUUGGCAUGACGGUCCGCAGACCUCAAGCCUGUGCUCACUGCCACUCUACCUGUAUAUGACCCAGACUAGGCCUCUGGGCUCACAGGCUGCAUAUAACCCAGACUAGGCCUCUGGGCUCACGGGUUGGCACAUCGAACCACUUUUCCGGAAAAGAACACCCUCUGUGGUGGAUCAGACCGCUGGUGAUCGUGAAAUGCAAACAAGUCUCGGGCGAUCGAUGCUGAUAUGCUCAAUAGCCAACCGUCGGCAACUAGCCGACAAUCCUAUCUCUCAGGGUAUACUGACCAAUAGGUCAUCGAACUGUAAAGAACACAAGUACCGACCACUCAGGUCAACUAGAUGGAACAACUCAACAUCCCUUCGAAGAUAUGCAAGUAUCGACUACUCAAUGUCAACUAACAUCUAUAUACACAAGAACCGACCAAUAGGUCACAAGGAUGUCACAUCAUACAUCGGUAUAAUCCAGAACUAACUGUAAGUUUUGGGGUGUCCAAGGAUCUAUCUAGAUUAUAUCUAAAACCUAGAGGGGGGUGAAUAGGUGUAAUAGCCAAAAACUAUAAAUCUCGAUGCGAUAAAAAUAAAUGCGAAAAAUAAAAAUCACACCGAAAUUUACGUGGGAAAACUCCAACUUGGAGAAAAACCUACGAGACCAACACGCGAAAAAAUAGUUCACUAAGAGAAAAGAUUACAAGGUGAUUACCAACUCCACGGACUCGACCUCUCUUAACCUCUUAUGAAUCUCGCGCAAUCCUCCGGGUUGUCCAUGCCCCCACGUUCGAAUCCACGAACGCCUCUGUAGCACACUGGACCUUUGUAAAUUGCGAGGUUCGAGUGUUCGAUUUGUAUUCCGAACUUCUCCACACUUGGUGGAGGGCCGUCGAUGGUAUACCGGCCUAAAAGUUCGAUCUCGAGAGUUUUGGCAGAGUCCUGAGAGUUUUUACUCUCGGGGACCGGUCCCUGAUAGGAGAGACCGGUCCCCCAGUGAACAGUGCUGCGCAGCCGGCGAGGCAACCGGUCCCUGGCAGUCGAGACCGGUCCACGAGCGCGUCUGCGCGGGGAGAGACCGGUCCCGCGCAGGGAGAGACCGGUUCCCGAACGUUGAAUUUUCGGGGACAGGCUGAGAGACCGGUCCCAAGUCGGGGAGACCGGUCCCUCUGGGCGAAAACUGCCCAGACCGGGCUGAUGUGAUUUUGGAUUUUUAAGGGGCUUAUCAGGAUUUUGUUACUUUAGAGCCUAUAGAGAGCCUUUCUUCUCUCUCUUUCCCUCAUUUCUCUCAAUCCUUUGCAUUCUAGAGAGAGAAGAAGAGAGGGAGAAGAAGAAGAAGAAGAAGGAGAGGAGAAGGAGCUUGCUUGGAGGCUUUGGAGCAUCAUCUUCUUCCCCAUUUCUCACUUUGGUGGCUUCGAGCUUGUGGUUGGAGCUUUGUGGAGGAUCAAUCUUCAACCCUAGAAGAUUUUGAGCUUGGAUUGGAUCAUCCUAGAGGUAAGUGGCAAGGUUCCUUCCUCUAGAUCUUAGUUUUGGGGCUUUUGCUUGUUUAAACCCUAGAUUUUGGAUUUUAGGGUUAGAUUUGGGGAUUCUUGAUUUGAGGCUUCUUGAUCUCAUUUGAAAGGUUUGGAACCUUUAUAUAGGUUAGAUUGGAAGACCUCUACCUCCCAUUUGAAGAUUAAGAGAGGGUUUUUCACUUGAGGUGAGUUUUUCCCAACCCUAUCUUAAGUUGGUUAAUGAUUGAACUUAGCGUCAUUCGUUUCGACUAGAUGACACUUGUUUUCAUACCUUUAGGGUACUAGGAGUGUGGUGGACGCCUUCGUCGUGGCAAACGAAAGCUUUCGUUGACGACGGUGGGUUUGGCUUCGUGGAAAUGGGGCGAAAUGGCCCCUAUGCUCUUUCUAUUUGUUGUAAAAUAUUUUUUUUAAAUUCAUUCCUAUGCUAAAUGGAAUUUAUAUGAAUUUUAGAGCACUUCGAAUGCAUGCCUUGUGUAUUAUGAAAAUUUCACUAUAUAGUAGAGCUAUAUGAGUAGAAUGCAUGCAUAUGGAAAAAGUGUUAUUUGCAAGUGAAAAAUACAUCACUUAUGAGGAUUAUGAUUUGGAAUAUGUACUUUGGAACAUAGUUGCCAUGCUCUGGCAUAGAGAACAAGGGUGUCAUCAAGGGGCACUUGAAACUAGUAAACUAUGAAACUGCAACAUAGAGACAUAUUGAUAGGCCACUACAUAUCUGCUAUAUUCCAUGUUAGAGACAUGAUGACAUAGGGAUAGGCCAUUGAGAUACUUGACACAUUCCAUGUUAUUAGACAUGAGGACUUGGUACUUGCGACAGAUCGUUUGACUACUUGCCAUUGUGCUCAUUCGCACAUGCUUGUGAGGGUCGCUCCCUACAAGCCGGCACUCCGGAGAUAGCCAUCGCGAUUCAUAUUCGCCGUGCGGGAUUGGGCGCCGAAGUGGAUUGCCGUGGGACAGGCUCAUUCCUAGGGUGGGGAUGAUGACUACCACGGGGCCAUUAGGCUCGGCACCGGCCAGACAGCCUACGGGUGGGUCUCAGGGCCAUAGACAGCCUUCGGGUGGGUCUCUUCAGAUUUGACUUUGAGUAUUCAUUAUGACAUGUGGACAGAUGAUGACUUAGUGUACUACUUGGACAUUGACUAGAAUAGUAAACAACGGAACUUUACUAUUUCGCAUUGUGAACAUUAUGAUAGUUGGAGACUUUUACUUCAUGCAUAGUUGCUUCAUACUUAUGCUAUUUAUGCUAAGUAGAGAUAUCAUGUUGUAGUAAGUUACAUUUUUACUUACCUUUCGCUUUUCUACUUUUAUAGUCACUGACAUGUUUUGUAGAUUUGGGCCUCGUGGUGCAUUCACUGAAGUCAGUAAUUGUCCACUGGGAACUAUUUUUAAUAGUUCUCACACCCCUGUUUUAUGGUUUACUUUUCAGAGCCUUCGGCACCGGCGGAGGCACGGGAUCGUGGCAAUGGGAUCGCUUAGCUAGCUAGCGAGGAGCGGUACUUUGCCUAGAUGGUUUACUCUUUCUUUUGUAGUUGAGAGAGUGAGAGGUUUUUGUAUCCAUGUAUAGAGACCACCUAUGUAUCUACCUAUAGCACUUGUAUCUGGGACUUCCUUGUAUCACUUUAUAUUUUAUUUAGUGGAUUUACAGUUUUAUCCUUAUCCCUGGUUGUAGCAUUUAGACAUUUAUUAUGCUUUGAUACUCCUAGAUGUCUUUUAUUAUUGCUUUUAUUAUUGUUGUUUUUAGACGCUUUAUACGUUUUAGACGUAUGGCGGGUCUGGGCACGCGCCGGGCGGGCUUCCGCUGGGUCCCGGGGCGUGACAGCCUUGCACACGUCUAAAUCCACGAACGCCACUCGAAUCCACGAGCCCACAAUCCGAAUCCACGAACCGCCUUCAAUCACGCUGAAUCCACGACGCCAUCCAUGAAAAACAUCAUGCUAUGGUGAUCCUUCGCUUAAAGUGUUGUAGAAAACCAGAGAAGAAAACUCCAAGCGAAGUGUAGAUCAAAUCGACAUAUUGAUAUCAAAUUACAAUCUCUCGAUUUCACCUAAAAGAGGCUAUUUUGUGGAAAAUAGGUUUUGGACGAAAUCCUAGCCUGUAGGGUUUCUCAAAUAUGUAUUCUCAUGAUGCUUAAUCUGUUAGAGAAUCCCAAUAGCUUAUUUAUAGACUUUAGAAUCAAUUAGACUCGGAUUAGAAAGUUUUUCGGAUUUUUACAUUGUGUACCGGUACACUUUCAAGCUGUUACCGGUUACACGAUGACGGAACGAAAAACCUGCAAAAUAGUGUAACAGGUGACAGGUCGCUGGUUGUACCAAAACACAAUAUGUACCGGUACACUUUCAAUGCUGUACCGGUACACUUUGCAAUUUUUAGUUUUUUUGCAAAGUUUCGGGUUUCGCAAAGUUCCAAUGCACUUUCUGAUCCAGUAAACAUUGAUUUUAUGAUUCUAAUGCCUACAGCUAAGUAUGAAUCACCCUAACAUGAAUUACAAAUUUUACCUGAGCAUCGUGGUUCACGUCGUGAGUUAUUUUCCGAUUUCUUCGAAAUCUUGGAUUCUUCGAUCUUUGACAUUACGCACUGAUCCUUCAAGACUCCGACUCAAUCCACGAAACUUGCCAACACACAAGACUUAGCAAUUUCGUGACAAAACUCACAACAACUCAACAAUUACAUCUUAAAGAAAAACGAAGUUCAAUAUCAUCACCAAAACAUCGAACUUCUCGCAUGUAGUCCAAAUACAACUUGAAACUCAAAAGUACAUUAUAAACUCCUAAAACAGACUCUAUGACUUAGACGCAACUAGGAGUCUUGAAGUUUUGAUUUCCUGCAAAAACAAACUAACCAAAAUGAUAUAGAAAGUUGAGACCACUGGACAUUCUUACAUUCAAUUCAUUGUUCUUAUUGUUCUUGAUCACUUCUCCCCCUUUGUUCUUAUCUCCCUUCUUCUCCUCGAAAUUUCACUCCUUUUCCCCCUUUGUUCUUGAAAGAUAUGGAUCCCGAGGAUCUAAAAGGUAAAUAACACCUAGAGGGGGGUGAAUAGGUGUAAAAUGGCAAAAACAAAAGCUCUCGAUGCAAAUAAAAGAGAUAGCGGAAAAUAAAAACAGCACACCGAGAUUUUAACGUGGGAAAACUCCAAUCUGGAGUGAAAAACCCACGGGACCGAUCACGCGAAGAAAAUCCACUAAGAAAACUUGAGUACAAGUGAUUUUAACCAAAAUACAUGACUCAAUUUACCGAAUUCCCGUUGUUGAUGGUCUUCGCCGGUCCUAGAUCGAUAGGAAUCCUCCGAUCGACCUCGCCGCAACUCCUUGCUGCGUCAACGCCUCAACUCCUCGAAGCGUCCACCGAAUCCUCGGCUUCACGCGAGUCCACGCGCCGAACCUCCUUUCGGAGUUUGCAGAAUUGAUGAUUUGUGGUGAUUAAGACUUAGAAUACCAUAAGCAAUGAGGGUUCACCUUCUAAUCAAACAUCUACUCGAUUCUCGAAAAAGAUAUCGAGUUAGAUCGAAGAAUCAAGUCGAUCGUUGAAACUUGUUAUAAGAAUAGAAUCAUAUAAAUGUGAAAACAAGUUUCUAGGAUUUUAGAUCAGUAGAAAUUCAAAGCCUUAACCCAUAUGACGACCCCCAUGGCUUAUUUAUAGGUUUAGAAGACUUAGAAGUAGACUAGGAUUACAAAAAGUCUAUUUAAAAAAACUGGUGUCGUCCUCAGGGACCAGUCCUCUUGAGGAGACCGCUCUCGAGUGAGAGAUCGGUCCCUCGCUGCGUGACAGAAAACACACCGUUCGGUUCGGGAACGGUCUCUCAUGCCAGAGACCGGUCCCUCGCUGCGUGACAAAAAAUCCCAUGUUCGGGAACCAGUCUCCCUUUCCAGAGACCGAUUGCCUCAACAUCCCACGCAGUGAGGACCUUCGGGGACCAGUCUCUCAACUCUGGGACCGGUCCCAGAACACUGAAAAGUUCAGUAUAAGCUUUAUAAUGCAAUCUAAGUCUUCUGAACUUAUUGUAAUUAAAUAAAUUCACCACAAAUGAUCUAUUCUAUAUACCUGAGGUGUCGAGCUUCUCCAAAUGAGUUUUUGCUCUUCAAAUUGAAUCUUCUCUUCAAACUACCGCGAUCAACUCUUCAAGACUCCAUUCGACUUUACGAAAUCCGCCAACCUAGAAAAUCCUUAACAAUCUCCCCCUUUGGCGAUUUCGUGACAAAAUAUAUUACAAUGCUCGUACACAACUCAGAAACAAUAAAAAGAAGAUCAUCGCAAUCACCAAACGACAAUCUCCUCCUGCAUGAUCGAUCCAAUAAAAGAAAAAAUUACACUUUUCUCACAUUCCUAAUACAAACUCUAUGACUUAAACAUGGAGUCUUGAAGUCUUGAACAUUCCUGCAAAAACACUCUUAAAACACAAUC